UUCGACCUCAAAUCAGGA
RNAcentral lists this ribosomal RNA (18 nucleotides) under uncultured Glomus. RNAcentral's name for it is "partial 28S ribosomal RNA". Lineage: Eukaryota; Fungi; Glomeromycota; Glomeromycetes; Glomerales; Glomeraceae. The record is from RNAcentral.